This 492-nucleotide ribosomal RNA is filed under the name uncultured bacterium. RNAcentral's name for it is "partial 16S ribosomal RNA". It matches the Rfam family "Bacterial small subunit ribosomal RNA", at positions 29 to 507 of the family's 1533-position model. The record is from RNAcentral.
AGUGAACGCUGGCGGUAGGCCUAACACAUGCAAGUCGAACGGCAGCACAGUAAGAGCUUGCUCUUACGGGUGGCGAGUGGCGGACGGGUGAGGAAGACAUCGGAAUCUACUUUUUCGUGGGGGAUAACGUAGGGAAACUUACGCUAAUACCGCAUACGACCUACGGGUGAAAGCAGGGGAUCUUCGGACCUGGCGCGAUGGAGUGAGCCGAUGUCGGAUUAGCUAGUUGGCGGGGUAAAGGCCCACCAAGGCGAGGAUCCGUAGCUGGUCUGAGAGGAUGAUCAGCCACACUGGAACUGAGACACGGUCCAGACUCCUACGGGAGGCAGCAGUGGGGACUAUUGGACAAUGGGCGCAAGCCUGAUCCAGCCAUACCGCGUGAGUGAAGAAGGCCUUCGGGUUGUAAAGCCCUUUUGUUGGGAAAGAAAAGCAGCAGGUUAAUACCCCGCUGUUCUGACGGUACCCAAAGAAUAAGCACCGGCUAACUUCGUG